Molecule: small nucleolar RNA, 107 nt
Organism: Dioscorea cayenensis subsp. rotundata (Guinea yam)
Lineage: Eukaryota; Viridiplantae; Streptophyta; Magnoliopsida; Dioscoreales; Dioscoreaceae
Source: RefSeq, a predicted model, not a curated record
AACCCAUGUUAUGGACAUUUCUAUAAGAUGCCCUUGAAUCACUCCCAAGUCCCAAACAAGGAUUCAAGCUCCAUAUGAACAAAUGAAGAUAUCUUAUUUCGAAGCUU